RNAcentral lists this ribosomal RNA (253 nucleotides) under uncultured bacterium. RNAcentral describes it as "partial 16S ribosomal RNA". It matches the Rfam family "Bacterial small subunit ribosomal RNA", at positions 524 to 776 of the family's 1533-position model. The record is from RNAcentral.
UACGUAGGUGGCAAGCGUUGUCCGGAAUUAUUGGGCGUAAAGCGCGCGCAGGCGGCUUCUUAAGUCUAAUGUGAAAGCCUUCGGCUCAACCGAAGAAGUGCAUUGGAAACUGGGAGACUUGAGUGCAGAAGAGGACAGUGGAACUCCAUGUGUAGCGGUGAAAUGCGUAGAUAUAUGGAAGAACACCAGUGGCGAAGGCGGCUCUCUGGUCUGUAACUGACGCUGAGGCGCGAAAGCGUGGGGAGCAAACAGG